UGUUCUGGGUUCCUAUGAGGUACAGAGCA
Molecule: non-coding RNA, 29 nt
Filed under: Rattus norvegicus (Norway rat)
Lineage: Eukaryota; Metazoa; Chordata; Mammalia; Rodentia; Muridae
Source: RNAcentral